Brassica napus (rape) is the source of this 1740-nucleotide long non-coding RNA. RefSeq lists it as uncharacterized. The transcript has 3 exons. The record is from RefSeq and is a predicted model, not a curated record. NCBI's taxonomy places the organism in Eukaryota, Viridiplantae, Streptophyta, Magnoliopsida, Brassicales, Brassicaceae.
ACCCUAAAUCCAAGGACAUUAACAUUAUAUUUUGUUAACUAAAGACAUCGCUUCUAUAUUAAUUUAGAAAUGAAAGCCUCUGACAGUAAUCGUUUAUUUCUUCUUCUAUUUGACAGUAAUUCUAUUUCUUUUUUUUUUUUUGUCUGUGUGGAUCAGACGCAACAUGAAAUGGAUUGAAGACAGCGCUUACUACCCAGAGCAUUGAAAAAGAUCCAAACUUUUACACCCAUUGACUCGUACAAUUAUUUUUAGAAAGAUGGAGUGGUAUUCGUAUUAAGAGAGAUACUAGAAUAGGGAACAUAGGAAGUUUGCUUACAGAACAACAAAACCAGAGAUGUAUCUUUCUCUUUAUUUUGUUUUGUUUCAGGCUUCAAUGCGUGGGAAAAGCAGGGAGACGAAAGCAAACAUGAGGCUUUGCCGGGUGUGUUGUUACCAUAUUCAACUAGUGAGGAGACGAAUUGUAUUGGAAAUGAUGGAGAGUUUGUUUGUACAAGAGAACGUUAUCGAAAGAUUAUUCUCCAAAAUGGUUGAUGUCGAAGAGUUGUUAAUGGACCCCUUGAAAGCAUUUCUUUUGAUCUUGCUUUAGAUACAUUAGCUGAAGUGUGUAGGCGGAACUCUGUGCAUAAGUAGUUUGGAGGGGAUGUGAUGGAGAAUGAUUUUGUGGGCAAUAGCAGUUUUCUUAUGCUUUUUAUUUGUAUUUUGAAUGCGUAAAAUUUAAUAUUUUGGUUUUAUAAAGUUUUACGAGAUUGAAACAGGUUUGGACUAAUUGAAUUGAAUACUAGGUAUUACUAUGUACAAAAAAAAAUUGGAUUAUUGGAUUUCUCAGGUACAAAUUAAAAUUAUUAAAAUAAUACUAGGUUUAUGAAGUAUUAUUAAGCCAAACAAAUGCCUGAAAGGAAUAAACAAUAUUAGUUUAAGAUAAAUAAUUUAUAUAAAUAAUUUAUUUUAAUUUGUUGUAUGUAAUAAAUUGGGAGAAAAAAAACUCAAGAAGUCGUCCAUAGUAAUAUUGUAGGAAUUAGGUUUGAUAGGUAUUACUAAGAAGACAAUUUUUUUUUGUCUAAAACGUGUUUAAAACUUUUAAUAAUAAAACACGUCUAAAACGUGUUGAAAAAUAGAUAAUACAUGUUCGAAUAUUUACACUUAGUAAUACUCAAGGUAGUAGUAAUAUUUUAUUCUUCAUAGUAAUACUUUUGCAAAAUACAAUAUUUUUUAAUAAUACAACUUCAGAAAACAAAUUUAUUAGUAAUACCAAUAUAUUUAUACAGUUUUAGAUUGUAUAUAACACAUUGCCAAAAAAAAGUUUCAAAAAAUAUGUAUUUUCAAUUAUUCAUCUCAUAAUGACAUUCCAAUCAAAACAUUAGUAUGGAAGUAUAAAGAUGUUUUCUAUGGAAAUGAGAAGUUUUCUAAGAGCUUAAAAAAUUAUAAGGCUCUAACUGGUAACCAUAAAAAGAAUAAAAAGAAUAAAAUGGAAUAAAAUAAAAGGAAAAUCUAUUCCUCUCCUAUUUUUUCAAGAAAUAAUUGUAGUCUUUUAUUCUUUAAAUCUUAAGGAAUGUUAAGGAAUCAUACGUAACAAAUAUUCCUUGUAAAUGGUGAAAAUUGUAAGAAAUGUUAAUGAAUUAACUAUUCCCACCCAUUCCCUUGGUCACCAUUUGGAGCGAGUAUUUUAGUCUAAUUUGACAAAUAAACACUUAUAUGGACAUAUUAUCACGUAAUAUAUGAUAUACAUCUUCUAAAAAUAAA